Molecule: long non-coding RNA, 3155 nt
Organism: Contarinia nasturtii (swede midge)
Lineage: Eukaryota; Metazoa; Arthropoda; Insecta; Diptera; Cecidomyiidae
Exons: 2
Source: RefSeq, a predicted model, not a curated record
UGUAAGAACAGUUUGAUCUAUAAUAAUGGUGCCAGCUAAGUUACUUCUGAUUAAUAAAAAGUAUUCAAAAUGUUACUUUUAAAUGUUUUUUAUGGGUCAGACAUAGUGAUUAGUCUUUCCUCUUAACUGAAAUCAUUGAAGUUCUAAUAGGUCAGUGAUUAUAUUUAGAAAACAACAAUUAUUUCGAUCUAAACGGAAAGAUUUACAAAUAUUUCAUAAACAAUGGAUAUUAUACAUUUAACUUUGGAAACAGAUAGUGAGACUAAGAGAUUACGACUGGGUGGUCCAUUUACGAUUAAAAGGCUUAUGGAAUUAGAGCCUUAUGGAAUUUGUGAAGCAAUUUUCGCAAUUGAUCUCUUUCAUAAAAAUGAUGCCAAACAAAUACAAUAUAUUUUGGAAAUUGUGUCAUAACCGAGGCAUGUGUUUAUCGUUACUCAACCAUUUUAACCAAAUAUUUACUCAGACAGUCAUAAUUGGAGUAAGUUAAAAUACACGAAAAAGUAACGCUUUAACAUUUACUUUCAUUCGGACUUUUCCAAUAAUUUCUCAUUUGGAUGCAAAAGUCCAAAACUAAAAAUUGUAUUGUACCAUUCAGUUCCCUCUAUUUUGAUGGCUAUUGCAAUAUUUUUUACAGACACAAUUUUAUAUACAGCACUUCAAUACAGAAUUAGAAAUGAAUUCUGCUUAUUGAGUGAUAAUUUUUGAAAAAUUGAAAUUAGUUUGUUUUCGGAUGUUUAUCAAAAAGUGUUUCAUCACGGUUUCACUAACGAAGUAUAUAGAUGAUAAUUCCAUCAUGGAAUAAAAAUAAAUAGAAAUUAAAUAAUAAAAUCUGCUUUGCGAAACAGUAACCAGAAUUCAAUUAUAAAAAUAAUCCAAAAAAUAGAGCUUGUAAUCUAAUUCACAGUUUUAAAUUAGUUAAAUAUUUAUUUAGGCCAAAUAAUUGAAUAAAAAUUGAAAUCGGUUCGUUCAAAUGUUAGUCAAAAUCGUUUCAUCAAUGUUAAUCGUGCAAAUAUGGCUGUAAAAGUGUAUUUAGUGGCCUCCGCAAUUUGGAUGAUUACAGCCGUAUCCCCCGUUAUAAUUGGAAUUGAUGUUUACAUUUUUGUUUAUAUUUUGAUUAUAAUUGCCCGAACACUGUGGACAUUCGCACGGCUGGUGUGCUGGGGGAGGCGGCGGUGGUGGUACAUUGCAGUUUGGCUCACAGCAUCGUGGACGAGAAUAUCUUCGCCUUCUUCGAGGCUCUAAUAAACAUUGAAAUUUGUAAUAUAUUCAAUAUAUUUUUUUAACUCUGAACUAACCCGGGUUGGGUGAAGCUUCUGGAUCUGCUGAUGGUUUGGGUAAUCCACUGGAAAGAGCCUAAUCACAACAAAGUUAUAACAUUUUGUAUAAUAGGAAUCCUAAAUAAUUUUCAUCAACAUCAAUUGAAAACUUACGAUUAAGCCAAGGAGAACGAAAACAAAAACGAAGACGAAUUUCAUUUUGAUUAGAUCUUUGUUAAGUCACAACUAAUUGAUUUCGAUCACUUUCCAUGUCAAUUUAUACAAAAAUCAUGCUAUUCAUUAUUAUUGGAUUUCUAUCCAAUGUAUCAAUUUAUGAAAUUGUUAUGUGUUCAUUUAUUGUCAAAAUUCGGAACGUCUGUUCCAUAAACUAAUUGUUUGGAUGCAACAAUAGAAUUAUUGAACGAUGAUUCGAAAACAAUAAUCACUAAAGAGACAAUCAAAUCUCGACUCAAUGAAACGAUACUGACAAUGCAUAUUGAAUGAAUUGAAGUAUGUUGGUGAAUUUGAAUCUAAACCAAUAUUACUUCAAUGAUUGAACUAAAUAAAUAUGGAUUUCAUUGUUUUCAUUUGAACACCGAUUGGUCAAACCGAUCUAACUAAAUUAUUUGUCUUACUCAAUUGUACGAAGGUGUGUGUUGUGGUCCACAAUUUGUGGAAAGCAACGACGAUGCGAAAAUUAUAGUUCCUUUGAACCAGGCAUGUUUAAGUCUUUUUCAUUAAAUACCAAGAGAAAUUGUUUGGUUCGUUCGGAUGAAAUAAGCCGAUUUGUUGAAGAAUUUGGAAAAAAAGAGCACAAUUCGCCAUAAAUUGAAAAGGAAGUUUCUCCAGAAAUAAGAAUAUUUAAUGUUUAUUAUUACUGGCUCAUUAAAUCGAAUAAUCGAUAUCAUCUUUUCGAAGUACUCCAUGCAAUCAUUAUACAAAUGAUUAGAAAAACCCAUAAUAAAUCAAAAGAACAUUCGCUACAAGUAUCGAUUAUGAUGCAAUCCAAAUACAAAAGGUCAUUCUGAGCAAUAAAAUCUUUUUGUUAUAAAGUAUAUAAAAAAUGUAGUUUUAUCUCCAAUGUAUGCAAUGCCAAAUAUCACUCACUUUAUCUUCUAGUGAUAAAUGCGUGAUAUUUAUGUUAAAGCUAAAUAAUAAAUGAAGUCAUUUCGAUCGAAAUGUAAAAAAUGCCAAUUUCUGAAUGAACAGUGCAAUUUAUGUACAAAGUUGGAAACAGCCUCGAAUAUAUUUGGAGAUGUAAUAUUACUAAGGCGUCUCCAUCAAAUCAAAGCUUGUAAUGAUAAUAAAAUGACUUUAUGAAUUCUCAUUGUUUACUUAAUCUUUAUUGUAAGCUAUUUCAGAUAAAUAUUAUUAUUGUUUUGGAAAGUGAUAAGAUCACCACAAUGAGCUGUUUUCGAUGUUUUUCUUCCCGUUGGAACCAAUCGAAUCCAUCGAUAUGCCUAUAUUCGAGAUGAACAAACAUUCUGAUUAGAAUUUAUUAUCAUUUAUCACAAUUUCGAUAUAUACAAAAUGUCAAAAAGCUUAUGGAAUGUUGUGAUUUUCAGUUGAUCGAUCGAGGGUAAUAUGGAGAUCUGGGCCUGAUCCGUGGACUAAAAUUAUGAUAUGCUGUGAUUUUCUGAGAGGCCACUUAUUUACGAUGAUGAAAGUGCCUGACAAUGAUAUUAAAUAGAAUCUACUAUCCCUUAUAUUGAGAAAUCCUAUAUACUACUUAUUUAUUCACCUACCUAUCUUAUUUAAAUCAAAACUCAAAUUAAUUACUCAUAUUUAACUUAUUGCUUUGAUUGUGAAAUCCUAAAAUUGUUAAAACACCUAAGUUCAGCCAGCAUUUGGCGGUGAAAUAAAUAAUAAUAAAUACCUUUUGUUUCUUUGACCACAAAA